AGUUCGGAUUGUAGGCUGCAACCCGCCUACAUGAAGUCGGAAUUGCUAGUAAUCGCAGAUCAGCAUGCUGCGGUGAAUACGUUCCCGGGCCUUGUACACACCGCCCGUCACACCAUGGGAGUCGGUAACACCCGAAGUCGGUAGCCUAACCGUAAGGAGGGCGCCGCCGAAGGUGGGAUUGAUGACUGGGGUGAAGUCGUAACAAGGUACC
RNAcentral lists this ribosomal RNA (211 nucleotides) under uncultured bacterium. RNAcentral's name for it is "partial 16S ribosomal RNA". It matches the Rfam family "Bacterial small subunit ribosomal RNA", at positions 1290 to 1500 of the family's 1533-position model. The record is from RNAcentral.